Molecule: long non-coding RNA, 254 nt
Filed under: Struthio camelus australis
Lineage: Eukaryota; Metazoa; Chordata; Aves; Struthioniformes; Struthionidae
Description: lncRNA (ENSSCUG00000018579.1)
Source: RNAcentral
CAGCUUGCCACCCCAGCAGUGACCACGUUCCCAGCUGUGUAUCGUUCUUGCUUCAGCUGACAAAUGCUUUGAAACCGAUAGGUGUUGUUGCCCUUUGAAGCAAAUGUGCUCAGCAGCCUUGAUCCCUUUGUGGAACCUACAAGACACAUUCUUGCUGCGUAUCAGGACCAGAGCUGGCCUUUACAAGAAAAGCUGAAAGUAGGAUCACUGGACUGAAAAACCUGAAAAGGUAAAAUGCUGCAAUCAAGACGCAG